UACGUAGGGUGCAAGCGUUUGUCCGGAAUUAUUGGGCGUAAAGAGCUCGUAGGCGGCCUGUUGCGUCCGCUGUGAAAUCCCGGGGCUCAACCCCGGGCGUGCAGUGGAUACGGGCUGGCUGGAGGCAGGCAGGGGAGAACGGAAUUCCUGGUGUAGCGGUGAAAUGCGCAGAUAUCAGGAGGAACACCGGUGGCGAAGGCGGUCUCUGGGCCUGUACUGACGCUGAGGAGCGAAAGCGUGGGGAGCGAACAGG
RNAcentral lists this ribosomal RNA (253 nucleotides) under uncultured bacterium. Its description in RNAcentral is "partial 16S ribosomal RNA". It matches the Rfam family "Bacterial small subunit ribosomal RNA", at positions 524 to 776 of the family's 1533-position model. The record is from RNAcentral.